UGUGGGGGGGUAGUUUUUUAGUACGUAGGCGCCAGGGAUGGCGAAUCGUGCAUGCUGCUACUAACAACCAGCAGUAUCUUUCGAAGAUUUUCUACCUCCUGCUCAC
Non-coding RNA from Glossina pallidipes, 106 nucleotides. The record is from Rfam. Lineage: Eukaryota; Metazoa; Arthropoda; Insecta; Diptera; Glossinidae.